This is a non-coding RNA of Gossypium hirsutum (cotton), 74 nucleotides long. The record is from Rfam. Lineage: Eukaryota; Viridiplantae; Streptophyta; Magnoliopsida; Malvales; Malvaceae.
GCUGGAAUAGCUCAGUUGGCUAGAGCGUGUGGCUGUUAACCACAAGGUUGGAGGUUUAAGCCCUCCUUCUAGCA